GACGAACGCUGGCGGCGUGCUUAACACAUGCAAGUCGAACGAUGAAGCUAGAGCUUGCUCUGGUGAAUUAGUGGCGAACGGGUGAGUAACACGUGAGUGACCUGCCCCGAACUCUGGGAUAACUGCUGGAAACGGUAGCUAAUACUGGAUACGACCUACGAAGGCAUCUUCUGUAGGUGGAAAGAAUUUCGGUUCGGGAUGGACUCGCGGCCUAUCAGCGUGUUGGUGAGGUAAUGGCUCACCAAGGCGGCGACGGGUAGCCGGCCUGAGAGGGUGACCGGCCACACUGGGACUGAGACACGGCCCAGACUCCUACGGGAGGCAGCAGUGGGGAAUAUUGCACAAUGGGCGCAAGCCUGGUGCAGCAACGCCGCGUGAGGGAUGACGGCCUUCGGGUUGUAAACCUCUUUUAGUAGGGAAGAAGCGAAAGUGACGGUACCUGCAGAAAAAGCACCGGCUAACUACGUGCCAGCCGCCGCGGUAA
RNAcentral lists this ribosomal RNA (484 nucleotides) under uncultured bacterium. RNAcentral's name for it is "partial 16S ribosomal RNA". It matches the Rfam family "Bacterial small subunit ribosomal RNA", at positions 28 to 523 of the family's 1533-position model. The record is from RNAcentral.